RNAcentral lists this ribosomal RNA (305 nucleotides) under uncultured bacterium. RNAcentral describes it as "bacterial SSU rRNA". It matches the Rfam family "Bacterial small subunit ribosomal RNA", at positions 332 to 657 of the family's 1533-position model. The record is from RNAcentral.
UUGACCUACGGGAGGCAGCAGUGGGGGAUAUUGCACAAUGGGGGGAACCCUGAUGCAGCGACGCCGCGUGGGUGAAGAAGCGCCUCGGCGCGUAAAGCCCUGUCAGCAGGGAAGAAAAUGACGGUACCUGAAGAAGAAGCCCCGGCUAACUACGUGCCAGCAGCCGCGGUAAUACGUAGGGGGCAAGCGUUAUCCGGAUUUAUUGGGUUUAAAGGGUGCGUAGGCGGUCCGGAAAGUCAGCGGUAAAAGCCCGGGGCUCAACCCCGGCGAGCCGUUGAAACUGUCGGACUAGAGACGGCGCGAAG